This 501-nucleotide ribosomal RNA is filed under the name Triticum aestivum (bread wheat). RNAcentral's name for it is "partial small subunit ribosomal RNA". The record is from RNAcentral. Lineage: Eukaryota; Viridiplantae; Streptophyta; Magnoliopsida; Poales; Poaceae.
AUGACCACGUUGCAUGCAUUGGUGGUGCAUGCAGAGGGACCGACUGGUGAUAUGGCUACGUUACAUGAUAUGGAUGCACCUGCCAGGUCGGACCGGAGUCCGGUGGAGACGCGCCUGUCAUCGAAGGAACAAGUGACGCUUGGCAACAUUAAGUCCUGCUGUGCUGGGUUGCUUAAGAAAUUGGCGCCCCCCUUGCUAAAAGAAAUUGAGGUGGUUAAUGGAGUUCGUCCGGGUCAAGACCCCUUCACGCCGCGUCGCAAUACUAGAUCGAUCAGCUCAUGCUCCAGCAACUCCAAGGCAUCGGCGGCUGAGACAGUUCUGCUCAAGGCCUUGGGCAUUGUGCCCGAUGAGUUGGCGAUCUCAGAGGAUGCGCUUGUCCAACUUCGAGAUAUGUUUGACUCGCCCCUACAAGAUAGACACUUGCGCACCAUCGCAGCGAUCUUCGGCAAGUCGCUACCCAUGGACCUGGGAGUGGAGAACCAAGCGGCCGUAGCACAUUAG